Molecule: ribosomal RNA, 364 nt
Filed under: uncultured Anoxybacillus sp.
Lineage: Bacteria; Bacillati; Bacillota; Bacilli; Caryophanales; Anoxybacillaceae
Description: bacterial SSU rRNA
Rfam family: Bacterial small subunit ribosomal RNA
Source: RNAcentral
UUCGGGGGACGAGGGUGACAGGUGGUGCAUGGUUGUCGUCAGCUCGUGUCGUGAGAUGUUGGGUUAAGUCCCGCAACGAGCGCAACCCUCGACCUUAGUUGCCAGCAUUCAGUUGGGCACUCUAAGGUGACUGCCGGCUAAAAGUCGGAGGAAGGUGGGGAUGACGUCAAAUCAUCAUGCCCCUUAUGACCUGGGCUACACACGUGCUACAAUGGGCGGUACAAAGGGUCGCGAACCCGCGAGGGGGAGCCAAUCCCAAAAAGCCGCUCUCAGUUCGGAUUGCAGGCUGCAACUCGCCUGCAUGAAGCCGGAAUCGCUAGUAAUCGCGGAUCAGCGUGCCGCGGUGAAUACGUUCCCGGGCCUU